Equus caballus (horse) is the source of this 1806-nucleotide non-coding RNA. The record is from RefSeq and is a predicted model, not a curated record. Lineage: Eukaryota; Metazoa; Chordata; Mammalia; Perissodactyla; Equidae.
CGCUUCGCCCAGCAGAGGGCGGCCGAGCCCGCGUCCCUGGGCCGCCGCGCGUGGCCGUCUGUGCGAGGACGGGCGCGGGAGCAUCGGGGCGCCGGCGUGGGGGCCAGGGCGAGGGGCGGCGCCACCACGGUCCGCAUCGUCGCAGACGGGACGGGGCGCCCGGCUCCCCAGCCGCGCUUGCUCGUCCACGAAAUGGGCGGAAAUGAAGUCUCCCCACCGGGGUGCGCCCGGGGGCGUUGCUUUCUUUCCUUCUUCCGCCUCCUUCCCUAGACCCCCGGCCAUCCCCGGCUCCUGGGGGACCCCACGGCACCUCUCACAGACCCCGCGGCCUAGAGGCGUGGCCACACCACGUGGGCAGACUGUCACUCACACACACACACACACACACACACCCAGCGCCCCAGGGACGUGUCCGCCUCCUGGACCCCCAACGCGUCCCCCCAGGCCCCGGGGACUGACAGCGCCCCACGGAGGCCCUCGAAGGCUGAGGCUCUGUGUCCCCCUAGACGAGGCCGCGGUCCAGCCCGCCGCUCCUGAGCUCGUCCCUUACCGGCUCUUCCUCUCGACCCCUCCCGGCCGUGCCCGACGGAGGGGCCCACCUCUCACUGCCUCUUUGUGAUCCAAGCGGCGUUUCUGGCCAUUUGGGUUUGAUGCGUCUUUUCCCAAGUUUUCUUAACUUUUUUGAAUGACCUUUCCAUCAGGACUCAAGUCUGAGACAAAGGAACAAGCUACAUAAAACUUCAGGCCGUCUCUUCUUCCCUGGAGUUGGCCAUAUCGCCUGCGUUUCUGUCCUUCAGUGAGAAGGGCUCUGUGAGCCACACAGAGCAGUUGAGCGUGUCUCAUCUCAUGCAAUCCUCACAACCACCCCGCCAGGCGCGCGCGAGGCUGGCAGUUCGUGGGUGAGGCUGCCGGACUCUCAGAGGGGCCCAGCCAGGGCUGGUUGGAACAAGCUCUGGCUUGUGACCCGGGUCCUCGCCUCCCACCGCCUCAGCUGCCCCCCUCGGCUGCUGGCCUCUUCCCUGGGGGCAUUUGCUGUGUCUGAAAGCAGGUGUGGGCAGCAUCAACGUUGUGUAAGGCUGCUAACCCGGCCUACAAGCCCCAUGCUGGCUUUCUGCCCUUGAGCUCUUCAUCCCUCAGCCCCUUUCCUUGGGCAGAAAUCGCUCCGUGUCCGGUGGAUCAGCUCAUUCACGAUUUGGCCUCCAUGUUCCCUCUGUUCUGGAAUUGCUCCGGCCCCACCUAGGGUGUGAUUCCAGAACCAGCAGCAGCGCCAGCGCGGGGGGAACCUGUUGGAAAUGCAAAUUACCAUGCCCACCCCACUGCUGAGUGGGACUCUCUGGCGGGCGGGGCUCAGCAAUCUCUGCUUCAACAUGCCUUCCAGGAGGCCAAGACCUGACAGACUGAGGUGAUAACAAGGAAAAAGAAAAGCUGUCGAACCACACCACUCAUCUGUCAGUAGCCAGGCUGUGGCAGCGGUCAUCCUUCUGGGACCUCCUAGGCUCUCUGGGGGCAGGACUCUGGCUGUAUGGUGAUAGAAGAUCGCUAUGAUGAAGGUCAACCUUGUGGAUGAUACUUUUUUGCUGGGCCAAUUACUUUGCAUAAAGCCGGAAAAUGAUUCAUCUGUGUAGUCCAGCUUAGCAGGUCCUCAGCAGAGAACACCUUUAGAAAGCGACGGAGAGGGUGAAAUCGAUUUUCCUAUGAGGGUAUACAUUUCUGCGUCCUCACCAUAUGCAGUUGGAUGAGUUAUAAGCACACAUGCCCAUUACUUCUAUUCAGUUUGACACACUUAGAAUAAAUGGCCAGGCUUUA